GGAGAGGUGGACGAGUUGGCUGAAGGCGUACGCCUGCUAAGCGUAUGAGGGUCAAAAGCUCUCCGAGGGUUCGAAUCCCUCCCUCUCCG
This 89-nucleotide transfer RNA is filed under the name Candidatus Cloacimonadota bacterium. Its description in RNAcentral is "tRNA-Ser". It matches the Rfam family "tRNA". From Rfam's summary of the family: Transfer RNA (tRNA) molecules are approximately 80 nucleotides in length. Their secondary structure includes four short double-helical elements and three loops (D, anti-codon, and T loops). RNAcentral also lists the same sequence under 1 other name. Lineage: Bacteria; Pseudomonadati; Candidatus Cloacimonadota. The record is from RNAcentral.